RNAcentral lists this ribosomal RNA (702 nucleotides) under uncultured bacterium. RNAcentral describes it as "bacterial SSU rRNA". It matches the Rfam family "Bacterial small subunit ribosomal RNA", at positions 192 to 873 of the family's 1533-position model. The record is from RNAcentral.
UCCUUUGGGAGAAAGAAGGCCUCUCUUUAGAAGCUUUCGCUACUAGAUGAGCCUGCGUAAGAUUAGCUUGUUGGUGAGGUAAAGGCUCACCAAGGCGACGAUCUUUAGCUGGUCUGAGAGGACGAUCAGCCACAUUGGGACUGAGACACGGCCCAGACUCCUACGGGAGGCAGCAGUGGGGAAUAUUGGACAAUGGGCGCAAGCCUGAUCCAGCCAUACCGCGUGUGUGAAGAAGGCCUUCGGGUUGUAAAGCACUUUAAGCAGGGAGAAAAAGUUAUAAGUUAAUACCUUAUAACCCUGAUGUUACCUGCAGAAUAAGCACCGGCUAAUUCCGUGCCAGCAGCCGCGGUAAUACGGAAGGUGCAAGCGUUAAUCGGAAUUACUGGGCGUAAAGCGCGCGUAGGUGGUUUGUUAAGUUGGAUGUGAAAGCCCUGGGCUCAACCUAGGAACUGCAUCCAAAACUAACUCACUAGAGUACGAUAGAGGGAGGUAGAAUUCAUAGUGUAGCGGUGGAAUGCGUAGAUAUUAUGAAGAAUACCUCUGGCGAAAGGGGCCUCCUGGGUUUAACACGACCAAGUGGUGCGAAAGCGUGGGUAGCGAACAGGAUUAGAUACCCUGGUAGUCCACGCCGUAAACGAUGACAACUAGCUGUUGGGAGACAAUGUCUUUCAGUGGCGCAGCUAACGUUUUAAGUUGUCCGCC